UACUGUCAAUGGUUUCUCUGAUGGGAUGUGGAUAUAUGUAUCCCUCUGACCUAAGACUGUCUUGGUGACUUGCAAGCAACUCACUGUGCUUUGGUACUAGACUACCCAAAUUUCUAAUUCGAUAAUGGAAGGUUACUGGGUACAGUCAAGUACUUGUGAAGUUUGAGUGUGAGUCAAGAUGGGAUUGAUCGCUCCAAGUAAAAUUGGAGAUAAUGCAUCAUUGUAUUUCAAUUUAGCAAAAUUUUGAUCAAAGUAAUCCUAG
This 262-nucleotide long non-coding RNA is filed under the name Elaeis guineensis (African oil palm). RNAcentral describes it as "long non-coding RNA (EGUI_LNC051418)". The record is from RNAcentral. Lineage: Eukaryota; Viridiplantae; Streptophyta; Magnoliopsida; Arecales; Arecaceae.